GGGGCUGAUUCUGGAUUCGACGGGAUUUGCGAAACCCAAGGUGCAUGCCGAGGGGCGGUUGGCCUCGUAAAAAGCCGCAAAAAAAUAGUCGCAAACGACGAAACCUACGCUUUAGCAGCUUAAUAACCUGCUUAGAGCCCUCUCUCCCUAGCCUCCGCUCUUAGGACGGGGAUCAAGGGAGGUGAAACCCAAAAGAGUUAGCGCGGGUGCCCUGCGUGGGGUUGAAGCGUUAAGACGCAUCAGGUUAGUCUGGUAGU
RNAcentral lists this transfer-messenger RNA (257 nucleotides) under Leptospira interrogans serovar Pomona. RNAcentral describes it as "partial transfer-messenger RNA". It matches the Rfam family "transfer-messenger RNA", at positions 1 to 262 of the family's 374-position model. From Rfam's summary of the family: Bacterial tmRNA, also known as 10Sa RNA or SsrA, is named for its dual tRNA and mRNA-like properties. Its role is to liberate the mRNA from a stalled ribosome. The record is from RNAcentral. Lineage: Bacteria; Pseudomonadati; Spirochaetota; Leptospiria; Leptospirales; Leptospiraceae.